This 523-nucleotide ribosomal RNA is filed under the name uncultured eukaryote. Its description in RNAcentral is "SSU rRNA". It matches the Rfam family "Eukaryotic small subunit ribosomal RNA", at positions 619 to 1147 of the family's 1831-position model. The record is from RNAcentral.
UUAAAAAGCUCGUAGUUGGAUUUCUGGUGGGAGCGGCCGGUCCGCCGUAAGGUGUGUACUUGGUUGUCUCCUGUCAUCCUUGUGGGAACUGCUCUGGCAUUAAGUUGUCGGGGUUAGGGAACACAUCGUUUACUGUGAAAAAAUUAGAGUGUUUAAAGCAGGCUUAUGCCGUUGAAUACAUUAGCAUGGAAUAAUAAGAUAGGACUUUGGCGUCUAUUUUGUUGGUUUGCACACCAAGGUAAUGAUUAAUAGGGAUAGUUGGGGGUAUUCGUAUUUAAUUGUCAGAGGUGAAAUUCUUGGAUUUAUGAAAGACGAACUUCUGCGAAAGCAUUUACCAAAGAUGUCUUCAUUAAUCAAGAACGAAAGUUAGGGGAUCGAAGAUGAUUGGAUACCAUCGUAGUCUUAACCAUAAACUAUGCCGACUAGGGAUUGGCGGUCGUUCAUUUAUGACUCCGCCAGCACCUUAUGAGAAAUCAAAGUCUUUGGGUUCCGGGGGGAGUAUGGUCNCAAGGCUGAAACUUAA